AUGGCCUCAACACCAUCAGGGAACUGCCUUGCCUCACCUUCUGGACCAGGCAUUUGGCAACGAGAACGACAGGACUGGGGUUUCGGAUAUUACAUCAGGCUUGAUCUUAAGGGAUCUUUCCACACAUAUCCGAAUGCAGGCGGGCCGUUUAAGAGCUUAGAGGAAGUCGAUAAGGCUAUGGAUCGCUAUUUUCAUCAACACCGGGAUCCAAAGCUGCUAAUGAAUAAAGGUGGGGUUCCGUCACGAGAGAUUUCUAUAGAAAAAGCUCGUUAUUGGCCUGAUGGCAGAAGGAAGAAGCUUUCCAGAUCCUAUAUCAUCAAGCAGUUCCAUAAUCAAAUGCGCCGAUUACUUCAAGCUUUGGUGGACAAGCAUAAUGAGGAUCACAGCCUUUCGGGGGAUCUUGCAUAUGAACUCAAAGAUGUUUUGCACGCCACAACAAUUUGUGAGGGGCGUACUACAUGCUACUAUCAUCUCAAUUUCACGGUGACUAAAGGAGCUGGUGAUUCUAACUCUGGCAUUGAAAACCUUUUCUUUGCGGAAGUCAAAUGUGUGCUACAAGGAAAAGAAGAGGAAUUUUCGGUCACCUGUUUCUGCCCGGUUGAAUCUACCGAUAAUGGAUACUGCUAUGGUUGUACCAUGCAUAGGGAUGUCAAUAUGAAGCACCCCAUCAGUGCCGAUGCAUACCUUGCCGGUCAGGUGAAGGCGGGAUAUUAUUGUUAUGAAGGCUGCAGCAGCGACUCAGACGACGAAAAUAUGGAAGCUAAGAAAGAAAAGGACGGUUGCUGA
Molecule: ribosomal RNA, 786 nt
Filed under: Triticum aestivum (bread wheat)
Lineage: Eukaryota; Viridiplantae; Streptophyta; Magnoliopsida; Poales; Poaceae
Description: partial small subunit ribosomal RNA
Source: RNAcentral